GAUGAACGCUAGCGGCAGGCUUAACACAUGCAAGUCGUGGGGCAGCGCGGACUUCGGUCUGGCGGCGACCGGCAAACGGGUGCGGAACACGUACGCAACCUUCCUCAGAGCGGGGAAUAGCCUCUCGAAAGAGAGAUUAAUACCCCAUAGUAUCUUCUAGUCACAUGACUUAAAGAUUAAAGCUCCGGCACUUUGAGAUGGGCGUGCGGCUGAUUAGGUAGUUGGUAGGUAACGGCCUACCAAGCCAACGAUCAGUAGCUGAUGUGAGAGCAUGAUCAGCCACACGGGCACUGAGACACGGGCCCGAUCCUACGGGAGGCAGCAGUGAGGAAUAUUGGUCAAUGGGGGCGAACUCUGAACCAGCCAUGCCGCGUGAAGGAUGAAGGUCCUCUGGAUUGUAAACUUCUUUUUAUAAAGUAAGAAACCCCAGUAUUCUUACUGGGUUGACGGUACUUUAUGAAUAAGCACCGGCUAACUCCGUGCCAGCAGCCGACGG
RNAcentral lists this ribosomal RNA (496 nucleotides) under uncultured bacterium. Its description in RNAcentral is "bacterial SSU rRNA". It matches the Rfam family "Bacterial small subunit ribosomal RNA", at positions 28 to 520 of the family's 1533-position model. The record is from RNAcentral.